GGAUGCGAUCAUACCAGCACUAAAGCACCGGAUCCCAUCAGAACUCCGAAGUUCCGCGUGCUUGGCGAGACUAGUACUAGGAUGGGUGACCUCCUGGGAAGUUGUUGUGUUGCAUCCU
This 118-nucleotide ribosomal RNA is filed under the name Oryza punctata. Lineage: Eukaryota; Viridiplantae; Streptophyta; Magnoliopsida; Poales; Poaceae. The record is from RNAcentral.